This 497-nucleotide ribosomal RNA is filed under the name uncultured bacterium. RNAcentral's name for it is "partial 16S ribosomal RNA". It matches the Rfam family "Bacterial small subunit ribosomal RNA", at positions 28 to 507 of the family's 1533-position model. The record is from RNAcentral.
GACGAACGCUGGCGGCGUGCCUAAUACAUGCAAGUUGAGCGCUGAAGGUUGGUACUUGUACCAACUGGAUGAGCAGCGAACGGGUGAGUAACGCGUGGGGAAUCUGCCUUUGAGCGGGGGACAACAUUUGGAAACGAAUGCUAAUACCGCAUAAAAACUUUAAACACAAGUUUUAAGUUUGAAAGAUGCAAUUGCAUCACUCAAAGAUGAUCCCGCGUUGUAUUAGCUAGUUGGUGAGGUAAAGGCUCACCAAGGCGAUGAUACAUAGCCGACCUGAGAGGGUGAUCGGCCACAUUGGGACUGAGACACGGCCCAAACUCCUACGGGAGGCAGCAGGAGGGAAUCUUCGGCAAUGGACGAAAGUCUGACCGAGCAACGCCGCGUGAGUGAAGAAGGGUGUCGGAUCGUAAAACUCUGUUGGUAGAGAAGAACGUUGGUGAGAGUGGAAAGCUCAUCAAGUGACGGUAACUACCCAGAAAGGGACGGCUAACUACGUG